CGAGCUGUCAUGCUCGCUAGGCGAGCAGCGUGGUUCGCUUUGCGAAAGGAGUUGUCAUGCUCGCUAGGCGAGCAAAUCCUUUGCUAGGCGAAGCGCACGCGUUUUAAAAAAUAAAAAAUAAAAUAAAUAAAUAAAUAAAAUAUAACAGAAAAAUCUUGGACUUGGACCUCUCUCAUUUGAGCCCACAAAAAUCAGGUUAUAAAUUCUAGACUUCCAUCUCCCAAAAAACCCUGGAAAAAGAUAGUGAGAGAAGAGCUAACAGAGUUCAGAGCAGCCUCCAGAGACUGAAAGGAACUCAUCUGCAAAGAGCCAAUCCCAUCUCAUAUAAACCCUCAGACUGCUUUGCAAACUCAACCGGGCAAUUCAAUUUCAUUCGAUCUCUC
Molecule: long non-coding RNA, 383 nt
Filed under: Lathyrus oleraceus (garden pea)
Lineage: Eukaryota; Viridiplantae; Streptophyta; Magnoliopsida; Fabales; Fabaceae
Description: Pisum sativum (pea) long non-coding RNA (PSAT_LNC041320)
Source: RNAcentral